GACGAACGCUGGCGGCGUGCUUAACACAUGCAAGUCGAACGGAAAGGCCCUGCUCUUGUGGGGUGCUCGAGUGGCGAACGGGUGAGUAGCACGUGAGUAACCUGCCCUUGACUUUGGGAUAACUUCAGGAAACUGGGGCUAAUACCGGAUAGGAGCUCCUGCUGCAUGGUGGGGGUUGGAAAGUUUCGGCGGUUGGGGAUGGACUCGCGGCUUAUCAGCUUGUUGGUGGGGUAGUGGCUUACCAAGGCUUUGACGGGUAGCCGGCCUGAGAGGGUGACCGGCCACAUUGGGACUGAGAUACGGCCCAGACUCCUACGGGAGGCAGCAGUGGGGAAUAUUGCACAAUGGGCGGAAGCCUGAUGCAGCAACGCCGCGUGCGGGAUGACGGCCUUCGGGUUGUAAACCGCUUUCGCCUGUGACGAAGCGUGAGUGGCGGUAAUGGGUAAAGAAGCACCGGCUAACUACGUG
RNAcentral lists this ribosomal RNA (468 nucleotides) under uncultured bacterium. RNAcentral's name for it is "partial 16S ribosomal RNA". It matches the Rfam family "Bacterial small subunit ribosomal RNA", at positions 28 to 507 of the family's 1533-position model. The record is from RNAcentral.